This 73-nucleotide transfer RNA is filed under the name Sus scrofa (pig). It matches the Rfam family "tRNA". From Rfam's summary of the family: Transfer RNA (tRNA) molecules are approximately 80 nucleotides in length. The record is from Rfam by way of RNAcentral. Lineage: Eukaryota; Metazoa; Chordata; Mammalia; Artiodactyla; Suidae.
UCCCUGAUGGCCUAGCAGUUAAGGAUCCAGCAUUGCCACUGCUGUGGCUCUGGUUCAAUUCCUGGCCUGGGAA